Molecule: ribosomal RNA, 424 nt
Filed under: uncultured bacterium
Lineage: Bacteria
Description: bacterial SSU rRNA
Rfam family: Bacterial small subunit ribosomal RNA
Source: RNAcentral
CUUAACCGGGGAGUGGCGCAUGAAACUGGCGAACUAGAGUACGGAAGAGGGAGGUGGAAUUCCAGGUGUAGCGGUGAAAUGCGUAGAUAUCUGGAGGAACACCGGUGGCGAAGGCGGCCUCCUGGUCCGAUACUGACGCUGAGACGCGAAAGCGUGGGUAGCAAACAGGAUUAGAUACCCUGGUAGUCCACGCUGUAAACGAUGGGCACUAGGUGUCCGGGGUAUUGACCCCCUGGGUGCCGCAGUUAACGCAUUAAGUGCCCCGCCUGGGGACUACGGUCGCAAGACUAAAACUCAAAGGAAUUGACGGGGGCCCGCACAAGCGGUGGAGCAUGUGGUUCAAUUCGACGCAACGCGAAGAACCUUACCUGGGCUAGACAACGGCGGACCGCUCCAGAGAUGGGGUUUUCCCUUCGGGGACCGC